GAAGAAAUAACAUAAAAAAGUGGUGCACACUGAAUAACCCGCGUAGCGUAUUAUUCAAAAGUGCAACACAUUUUUAUGUUAUUUCAAUAGACAGUCAAUAUUUAUAUUUUACUUCUAAAUUCCAUUUUAAGCAGGAGUAAAUCAUGAAAAUAACGUUGAUGACGUCAUGGUCAAAUGACAAAAUCAUGUCUAUGAGAUGAUUGACAAAACACUAUCAGCCAACCAGAAGACGCGUUACAUCGAAAUUUAAUUAUUUAUGAUUGAGCCAACAAAAAAUCAUAUAUUCUUUUUAUAUCUCGUAGCUAAUGUCCCUUCAAAGAAAUAUUAUUAAUUGUUGAGUGUUUUUU
Molecule: long non-coding RNA, 347 nt
Filed under: Mytilus galloprovincialis (Mediterranean mussel)
Lineage: Eukaryota; Metazoa; Mollusca; Bivalvia; Mytilida; Mytilidae
Source: RNAcentral